This 468-nucleotide ribosomal RNA is filed under the name uncultured bacterium. Its description in RNAcentral is "partial 16S ribosomal RNA". It matches the Rfam family "Bacterial small subunit ribosomal RNA", at positions 28 to 507 of the family's 1533-position model. The record is from RNAcentral.
GACGAACGCUGGCGGCGUGCUUAACACAUGCAAGUCGAACGGAAAGGCCCUGCUUUUGUGGGGUGCUCGAGUGGCGAACGGGUGAGUAACACGUGAGUAACCUGCCCUUGACUUUGGGAUAACUUCAGGAAACUGGGGCUAAUACCGGAUAGGAGCUCCUGCUGCAUGGUGGGGGUUGGAAAGUUUCGGCGGUUGGGGAUGGACUCGCGGCUUAUCAGCUUGUUGGUGGGGUAGUGGCUUACCAAGGCUUUGACGGGUAGCCGGCCUGAGAGGGUGACCGGCCACAUUGGGACUGAGGUACGGCCCAGACUCCUACGGGAGGCAGCAGUGGGGAAUAUUGCACAAUGGGCGGAAGCCUGAUGCAGCAACGCCGCGUGCGGGAUGACGGCCUUCGGGUUGUAAACCGCUUUCGCCUGUGACGAAGCGUGAGUGAUGGUAAUGGGUAAAGAAGCACCGGCUAACUACGUG